RNAcentral lists this ribosomal RNA (512 nucleotides) under uncultured bacterium. RNAcentral describes it as "partial 16S ribosomal RNA". It matches the Rfam family "Bacterial small subunit ribosomal RNA", at positions 356 to 859 of the family's 1533-position model. The record is from RNAcentral.
AGGGAAUCUUCCACAAUGGACGAAAGUCUGAUGGAGCAACGCCGCGUGAGUGAUGAAGGGUUUCGGCUCGUAAAACUCUGUUGUUGGAGAAGAACGGGUGUCAGAGUAACUGUUGACAUCGUGACGGUAUCCAACCAGAAAGCCACGGCUAACUACGUGCCAGCAGCCGCGGUAAUACGUAGGUGGCAAGCGUUGUCCGGAUUUAUUGGGCGUAAAGCGAGCGCAGGCGGUUUUUUAGGUCUGAUGUGAAAGCCUUCGGCUUAACCGGAGAAGUGCAUCGGAAACCGGGAGACUUGAGUGCAGAAGAGGACAGUGGAACUCCAUGUGUAGCGGUGAAAUGCGUAGAUAUAUGGAAGAACACCAGUGGCGAAGGCGGCUGUCUGGUCUGCAACUGACGCUGAGGCUCGAAAGCAUGGGUAGCGAACAGGAUUAGAUACCCUGGUAGUCCAUGCCGUAAACGAUGAGUGCUAAGUGUUGGAGGGUUUCCGCCCUUCAGUGCUGCAGCUAACGCA